Molecule: ribosomal RNA, 266 nt
Filed under: uncultured prokaryote
Description: partial 16S ribosomal RNA
Rfam family: Bacterial small subunit ribosomal RNA
Source: RNAcentral
UACGGAGGUUGCAAGCGUUGUUCAGAAUUACUGGGCGUAAAGGGAGUGCAGGCGGUUAGGUCAGUCUGAAGUGAAAGCCCGGGGCUCAACCCCGGAAGGGCUUUGGAUAUUGCCUAACUUGAGUACGUGAGAGGAGAGCGGAAUUCCAGGUGUAGCGGUGAAAUGCAUAGAUAUCUGGAGGAACACCGGUGGCGAAAGCGGCUCUCUGGCACGCUACUGACGCUGAGGCUCGAAAGCGUGGGGAGCAAACAGGAUUAGAUACCCCU